ACGGGUGGUAAUGCCGGAUGCUCCAUCACACUGCAUGGUGUGUUGGGAAAGCCUUUGCGGCAUGGGAUGGGGUCGCGUCCUAUCAGCUUGAUGGCGGGGUAACGGCCCACCAUGGCUUCGACGGGUAGCCGGCCUGAGAGGGCGACCGGCCACAUUGGGACUGAGAUACGGCCCAGACUCCUACGGGAGGCAGCAGUGGGGAAUAUUGCACAAUGGGCGCAAGCCUGAUGCAGCGACGCCGCGUGAGGGAUGGAGGCCUUCGGGUUGUAAACCUCUUUUGUUAGGGAGCAAGGCAYUUUGUGUUGAGUGUACCUUUCGAAUAAGCACCGGCUAACUACGUGCCAGCAGCCGCGGUAAUACGUAGGGUGCAAGCGUUAUCCGGAAUUAUUGGGCGUAAAGGGCUCGUAGGCGGUUCGUCGCGUCCGGUGUGAAAGUCCAUCGCUUAACGGUGGAUCCGCGCCGGGUACGGGCGGGCUUGAGUGCGGUAGGGGAGACUGGAAUUCCCGGUGUAACGGUGGAAUGUGUAGAUAUCGGG
Molecule: ribosomal RNA, 535 nt
Filed under: Bifidobacterium breve
Lineage: Bacteria; Bacillati; Actinomycetota; Actinomycetes; Bifidobacteriales; Bifidobacteriaceae
Description: bacterial SSU rRNA
Source: RNAcentral